This 481-nucleotide ribosomal RNA is filed under the name uncultured bacterium. RNAcentral describes it as "partial 16S ribosomal RNA". It matches the Rfam family "Bacterial small subunit ribosomal RNA", at positions 28 to 507 of the family's 1533-position model. The record is from RNAcentral.
GAUGAACGCUGGCGGCGUGCUUAACACAUGCAAGUCGAACGAAGCACUUUAUUUGAUUUCCUUUGGGACUGAUUAUUUUGUGACUGAGUGGCGGACGGGUGAGUAACGCGUGGGUAACCUGCCUUGUACAGGGGGAUAACAGUUGGAAACGGCUGCUAAUACCGCAUAAGCGCACAGCAUCGCAUGAUGCAGUGUGAAAAACUCCGGUGGUAUAAGAUGGACCCGCGUUGGAUUAGCUAGUCGGUGAGGUAACGGCCCACCAAGGCGACGAUCCAUAGCCGAGCUGGGAGGGUGACCGGCCACAUUGGGACUGAGACACAGCCCAAACUCCUACGGGAGGCAGCAGUAGGGAAUAUUGCACAAUGAGCGAAAACCUGAUGCAGCGACGCCGCGUGAGCGAAGAAGUAUUUCGGUAUGUAAAGCUCUAUCAGCAGAGAAGAUAAUGACGGUACCUGACAAAGAAGCACCGGCUAAAUACGUG